AGUUGGCUUGCUGUCUGGAACUUCUCCUUUACUCAUUCUGAUGGAGAAACGUACCAUGAUAUGAAUGGCCCUAAGAACUGAGACCCUCAGUCUAGUCGCCUAAGAAGAGUGACGUCAGAGGCCCUGGAUUCCAGAGGGCACAGCCACAAAAAGGUAGGGCCUCUGCCAGCCUGGAUCCCUGAGUACAGUGUGGAUCAAAGCUCCCUGCUUACUCCUAGCCAAAGCACAGAAGAGCCAUGUGAAUUCUCCAGGUUGCUCUUCUCCGGUAGCAGUGACAGGUUGGAUUGCAGACUUCACUCGAUUUGGAUUCCUGAGAGACUACAUGGAGCAUGCCCUCUGCCAAAUUGUGUUGGAUAUGCAGCAUGUAAAGGAAACAAACACUUGUUGUGUAAAGGCACUGGCAUUUAGAGGUUAAUUGGGAAUGCAGUAUAUCUAGCCUGUCCUAAUUAAUGAUGAAAUUAGUACCAGUGGUGUGAUGUGGUCACUGAAAAACUAAAAAUGAUAAAGGGCAAGGACACUAAGAAAACAGGCUGGAGUAAUAGCAAUCUGUGCUCUGCAAUGGCCAGACAUUGGAUAAAACUGUGCUCUCCAGUAACUGGCAAGGGAGACGGUACA
Felis catus (domestic cat) is the source of this 615-nucleotide long non-coding RNA. RefSeq lists it as uncharacterized. NCBI's taxonomy places the organism in Eukaryota, Metazoa, Chordata, Mammalia, Carnivora, Felidae. The transcript has 3 exons. The record is from RefSeq and is a predicted model, not a curated record.